This 223-nucleotide long non-coding RNA is filed under the name Callithrix jacchus (white-tufted-ear marmoset). RNAcentral's name for it is "lncRNA (ENSCJAG00000083682.1)". The record is from RNAcentral. Lineage: Eukaryota; Metazoa; Chordata; Mammalia; Primates; Cebidae.
CUGUGAGAACCACUGCCUUUGAGAACUGGAAGGAUGGUUUCUCCUGAAAAAUCUGAGUGCUGUUGCCUGCAGAUAAAUGAUGAGUGAAUGAAGGUGGAAGUUACUGGAAGGAAGGCAGGCGGUCAUGGAGGCUGAGCACAAAGAAUAAACGACUUGAGAGAAAUGAAAAAAUACGUUGUCACAGUCCCAAAGCUGGAACAGGAUGCAUAAGACAAAUAUUAAU